This 386-nucleotide ribosomal RNA is filed under the name uncultured bacterium. RNAcentral describes it as "bacterial SSU rRNA". It matches the Rfam family "Bacterial small subunit ribosomal RNA", at positions 29 to 417 of the family's 1533-position model. The record is from RNAcentral.
AUUAAACGCUGGCGGCAUGCCUUACACAUGCAAGUCGAACGGCAGCACGGGGGCAACCCUGGUGGCGAGUGGCGGACGGGUGAGUAAAGCAUCGGAACGUAUCCUGGAGUGGGGGAUAACGUAGCGAAAGUUACGCUAAUACCGCAUAUUCUGUGAGCAGGAAAGCAGGGGAUCGCAAGACCUUGCGCUCUGGGAGCGGCCGAUGUCGGAUUAGCUAGUUGGUGGGUAAAGGCCUACCAAGGCGACGAUCCGUAGCGGGUCUGAGAGGAUGAUCCGCCACACUGGGACUGAGACACGGCCCAGACUCCUACGGGAGGCAGCAGUGGGGAAUUUUGGACAAUGGGCGGAAGCCUGAUCCAGCCAUGCCGCGUGAGUGAAGAAGGCCU